UGAUGUCUCCGGAACCAAGAUUUAUCGCCCUAAGAGCAGCGAUCGUCCUAUCAGGUAGUUGGCGGGUAAAGGCCACCAAGCCUAAGACGGGUAGCAGGUGUGAGAGCACGACCUGCGACAUCGGGACUGAGACACUGCCCGGACUCCUACGGGAGGCUGCAGUAACGAAUCUUCCGCAAUGGGCGCAAGCCUGACGGAGCAAUGCCGCGUGUGGGAUGAAGCGGCUACGCCGUGUAAACCACUGUCAGGGACUAGAACCAAUGAUCAGUCCCAAAGGAAGAGCCGGCUAACCCUGUGCCAGCAGCCGCGGUAAUACAGGGGGCUCGAGCGUUAAUCGGAAUCACUGGGCUUAAAGGGUGCGUAGGUGGCUUGCCAAGCGUCCUGUGAAAAUCCCACGGCUCAACCGUGGAACCGCAGGGCGAACUGGUAGGCUUGAGGCAUGUAGGGGCAGACAGAACAGUCGGUGGAGCGGUGAAAUGCGUAGAUAUCGACUGGAAUGCCGAUGGGGA
RNAcentral lists this ribosomal RNA (509 nucleotides) under uncultured bacterium. RNAcentral's name for it is "bacterial SSU rRNA". It matches the Rfam family "Bacterial small subunit ribosomal RNA", at positions 188 to 718 of the family's 1533-position model. The record is from RNAcentral.